This 72-nucleotide transfer RNA is filed under the name Equisetum xylochaetum. RNAcentral's name for it is "tRNA-Val". It matches the Rfam family "tRNA". Rfam says of the family: Transfer RNA (tRNA) molecules are approximately 80 nucleotides in length. Their secondary structure includes four short double-helical elements and three loops (D, anti-codon, and T loops). Lineage: Eukaryota; Viridiplantae; Streptophyta; Polypodiopsida; Equisetales; Equisetaceae. The record is from RNAcentral.
AGGGCUAUAGCUCAGCGGCAGAGCGCCUCGUUUACACCGAGAAUGUCUACGGUUCAAAUCCGUAUAGCCCUA